RNAcentral lists this ribosomal RNA (425 nucleotides) under uncultured bacterium. RNAcentral's name for it is "partial 16S ribosomal RNA". It matches the Rfam family "Bacterial small subunit ribosomal RNA", at positions 354 to 796 of the family's 1533-position model. The record is from RNAcentral.
GUGGGGAAUUUUGGACAAUGGGCGCAAGCCUGAUCUAGCCAUGCCGCGUGAGCGAUGAAGGCCUUAGGGUUGUAAAGCUCUUUCGUGGGGGAAGAUAAUGACUGUACCCCAAGAAGAAGCCCCGGCUAACUCCGUGCCAGCAGCCGCGGUAAUACGGAGGGGGCUAGCGUUGUUCGGAAUUACUGGGCGUAAAGCGCACGUAGGCGGACUGGAAAGUCAGGGGUGAAAUCCCGGGGCUCAACCCCGGAACUGCCUUUGAAACUCCCAGUCUUGAGUUCGAGAGAGGUGAGUGGAAUUCCGAGUGUAGAGGUGAAAUUCGUAGAUAUUCGGAGGAACACCAGUGGCGAAGGCGGCUCACUGGCUCGAUACUGACGCUGAGGUGCGAAAGCGUGGGGAGCAAACAGGAUUAGAUACCCGGGUAGUCC